UCCAAAUUAAACAAUUUAAUUGGAUUGUAAAAUCAAUAUCUGGUCAAUUAUAUCAAAAUGAAUAAUUGCAAAAAUCAUUAGUGUGUUAUACAAACAAAUGAAACUUAUUCUGACUUUUGAGACUGAGUAUUUAGAUGUGUGUUGUUGGUCAUUUUGGGUAAUAAAAACAUAACUGAGGUUAUGAAUGACAUCUUUUGGCAGACACGGACAUAUUUAUGAUUGAAUUCUCAUAUGGUGAUAAGACAAUUGAUUGACGGACAAGACCAGUAAGAGAACUGGCAGAACAAUAGGCAAGGCCUAAAGAAUUAAUCUACGAAACUGAUAGCACGUUUCUUGAUUAAAGAGGCGGACUGCAGAAGUAAAUUAAAUAGUUAACUAUUUAAGAGAUUUUGACUGCAGGGUCGCACCGGGUUUUUCAUACAAGUUUCCCGAACAAAAACAAAUAGUCUAUACUCUAAGUGAGUGCUGGACCCUUUAAGAACAACCUGCAGGACAGUCUGGGUUGUAACGAUACUCUAAACAAGUUCUGAACCUUUUAAGGACAACCUGCAGGACGGUCUGGGUCGUAACCUUACUCUAAAAAGAGCCUCUUGAUUAUUUAGAGACAGACUGCAACAAGGCGAAAACAUACUAAAUAGGUCAAGUUAUUUGACUAUUAAGUUGAUUUCGUCCGCAGGGCUGUACACGGGUUUUCACGCAAGUUUCCCGAACAAAUAACCUCGCGGUGUGGUGACGAUCACAUCGAACAAAGACAUAGUAUACUAUAAAGUCCAAGAAUCAAUUAUGGGAAACGAAAUUUCCCGUUCCAGUGAUGUAACUGGACCCAUAGUGGAUGAAAUGACUCAUAAACAUGGACCGGAUUGUUUGCGGUGUCUAUCUUAUUGGUCUAAAAGCUUUGGCUUUCCGCCAAAUGGUUCCCUGAGUGUAGCGAAGCUCAGGAUGCUAAAAUUAGAUCUACAGACAGAGGAGAAAAAAUUGAAGGGGAAGAAAACAAUUAAAACAGAGGUCUUAGAGCAAAUUGAGGAUAUUAAGGCAUGUUUUAAUGUGUGGAUGAAAGAAGCUGAUAACAGAGAGAGAAAACAGUUGCAGAAACAGAUGACACUUCUGAGCAUGACUGAUACUAACAAAAAAGAGAAAAAAGAAAAAGAGAAAAAAGAAAAAGAUAUGAACAAUGUCACUGACACAUUUUCUCCUCUCUAUCCGAGUUUGAAAAUCGUGGACCCCCGCCACACGGAAGAGGAAGAGAGCAGCCACGGUACCAACGACCCGACAGACGAGAGGCGAUCGGGCACGGGAACAGCUCAUCUCACUCCUCCGCCGCACUGAAGCAGCUGCGACCGCUGGAUUGCCAGUAUUCCAAGGCCUCACAGAGGAAACUGAUGAGGACGGAGAUGAAGCUGAUGCAUUUCCCAUGAUUCAAGUCCCUACACAAGGAGGGGGAAUAGGCCUGGUGUAUAGGGCCUGGACUGAAUUAGACAUUAGACAAGCGACAAGCCACCUUCCCCCGUGCAAAAACUCUGGUGCACAAUUUACCAUAGCCCUUCAGGCAUUCAUUGAGACUUUUCUGCCCAGUGUUCCAGAAAUACGACAUCUUCUGAUGGUAAACCUGGGGCCUAUGGAGUAUGCAAAGAUCCGACACCUUCUCCCCGAAGACCCAACCAAUGAUCCAGUCAUUCUCCAUCCAAAUCUCGCAAAUAGAGCAAAUGAUGGCUACAAUGACCUGCUGGAUGAUCUCUCCACCGGACUAGAGACCGUGUUUCCAGACAGAAUCGACAUGACACGUGUGACAAACACCAAGCAGUAUAAAGGCGAGACGGUGGAGGACUUCCAGUACCGGCUUUCUGAGACUUUUGAUAGACACAGCGGCAUCGCUCGCACCACUGCCGCCGGAGCAGUGGUUGAACUUUGGGAAGCUCAUUUCAAAAACGUGUUUUUGAGUGGGCUGCUCCCUGACAUACGAGCUGAAGUGGACAAAACCUGCAUUGGACUGCCCGAUUCAGCCCUGAUGGAGAUUGUUAGACAUGCUAGACAUGCUGAGAAAAUCCUGACCAGCACAAGAGACAAGACGGAGAAGAAAAGACAACAAAACAGUGAUGCUGCACAGUUAACCCUCAUAAAAACUGUGGCAGCAAUGUCUCAAGAAAGAAGGAAUGCGGGCAGAGGAAAAGGCAGAGGCAGAGGCAGAGGAAAAGGCAGAGGAAGCAGAGGCAGGGGCCGUGGCAACACACCGAUAGUGGACAAAGACACUUGCUACAACUGUGGCGAGAAAGAGCAUUGGGCCUACGAAUGUCCCCACCCCAAGAAGGACUCGUCUAAGGGACAGCGCAACGACCCUCAGCAGUUUGCAGAUUGACAGGCGGUGGGGGAUGGAAAGACGGGUGGAAUGGACGGACUGGAUGACACGAGUGCGCCUGUUAAGGAGGGUAACAUGCACACACACACAGAUACACAUGCUUGCAAUGAAGACAUGCUUUCCUGCAUACCACAAACAUCUACACCACCCCCAAACAAUAAGCAAAACAUACUAGAUGCAAUACAGCAUAUAGAACAGAAGGAAUUAGCAGAGAAAAUGCCUACUUAUGCUAUGUAUUCAUCAGAUGUGUAUAAAAAAUUGCCUACAACAGUGUUGACAAUACAGGGGAGGGAAAUAGAAUUCUUGGUUGAUUCAGGGGCUACAAAUUCGGUUUUGAAAAAAUCAUUGUUUCCAAAACAAAAACUUUCUGGUAGGGUAAUUCUUUCUAGAAGUGCAAGUGGUAUGAUAAUGCCAGAGAAAUUUACCGUUCCAAUGACUUGUGUGCACACAGAUUCUACAGAUCCAGACCCAGAGAGAAGAGCAAAAUGUUCAUUUUUGCUCUCACCUGUGUGCCCGGCUGCUGAGCUCAUUGCCCUCACGGAAGCAUGGAAGUUGGCUGAUGGCUCAUCUGUUACCAUCUUCACGGACUCAAGAAAACAGGUUUCAGCGGGUCUGCCUAAACCAGCUGAGGGACCACUGCAUAAGCUCCGGCCUGGGGACUUUGUUGUGAUCAAAAGCUUCAGGAGGAAGAACUGGCAGUCCAGACGGUGGGAAGGACCCUUCCAGAUCCUCCUGGUCACUCACACAGCAGUCAAGGUCGCGGAACGAUCCACGUGGGUGCACGCAACACACUGCAAACAGGUUCCGGACCCAGGAGAGGUGCCAGGUUCGCUAACACCUGCAACAAGUGACGAGCAGGUUCCCUGCUGAGUCACCUACGAGGGAAAUCGAUUCAGAGACCAGCUUGACAGACGGCGUUCUGUGCUAUCUCUGAAAUCAAUCGGGGGAAAACUGGAGUUUUUCUCACUGAUUUGCAAACACACUGAAGGAGGAGAGAAAGUGUGACCAACAUACUGGUAUUGUACCUUUUUGAACACAGCACAUUCCUGAAAAA
Molecule: RNA transcript, 3407 nt
Organism: Perca fluviatilis (European perch)
Lineage: Eukaryota; Metazoa; Chordata; Actinopteri; Perciformes; Percidae
Exons: 3
Source: RefSeq, a predicted model, not a curated record